RNAcentral lists this long non-coding RNA (3716 nucleotides) under Coffea arabica (coffee). RNAcentral's name for it is "long non-coding RNA (CARA_LNC008313)". Lineage: Eukaryota; Viridiplantae; Streptophyta; Magnoliopsida; Gentianales; Rubiaceae. The record is from RNAcentral.
AGAAAAUCUCCCCGUUGGAGAAUAUUGUCGAACACCUGGCGUGUGUCAGAGGCCAGUCUAAGGAAAGAAAGAAAAGAAACUAAAACUAAACUAAAACUAGAGAUGUCCCUGCUACUCUACGUUAUCCCUAUUUAAGCAACAAGAGGAAGAUGACUAAAGGCUAUCUAGGUGGUCCCCACACAUGUGGACAAAGCCCUCCAAGUACUUCUUGUUCCAAGUCUCCUUCCCGUAGCUUUCUUUUAAGAGCCCAAAUGACUAGAUGCUUUCCACUAGCUUGUGGUCCCCCACCAAUUCAAGGGCCCAAGAAUUGAAGCCCUUAGAAGUCUCCCUAUUCCCAUAAAAGUCCCUCCUUUUUGGUAAUUUUCUGCUUUGUUCCUGAAAUUAAACUCCAAUACCAAAUAUAAGUAAAUAUUAAUAAUUAAAACAAUAUUUGGCAAGAAUAAAAGGGGAAAUUAAUAAUAAAAUUACUAACAAUUAACACCCUAUCAAUUCCCCCCACACCUAAAUCAUGCUUGCCCUCAAGCAUGGGAACAACAAUUGAACACCAAAAUUUGACCAUGGCUGUUACUCCAACUACCGUAUUGCCAAGACACCAAGAAAAUCAUAUAUCAAGCGACACAGGUCAAGAUCCAAGAAAAAUCACCCCGCUUAGCAUCUAAACUACCAACUCCUCCAAUUUAAAGCAAACUAAUCUAAGGAAAAGGAAUGGUUGCUCACAUUUAUCAGUAAAUGGUCCAGCUAUUAACCAAAAUCUCGACAUUAAGAUCACAAACCGGCAAGCUGAAUUAUUCACAUACUAACACAAUCUUUAUUUUAUUUUUUUCCUUUUCGUUUUGUUUUUGUUUCUUUUCCUUUUUUUUUUCUUUUUGAAUAACAAAAGACUCAGUCUAUAACCCUUAGAACCUUUUGACGCGAACUCCAACAUUUGAUAGAUGGAGAAGCCCGGUUACUCAGCUCCAAUUGCUACGAGACCACGCACUCAUAAUAACUACUACCUUUUGACGCGAGAAUCGACACUUUAGGUGAAGAUUUCCGGUUACUCAGUAGUAACUACUAGCGGAGUACAGUCAAUUCUUAUUUAUAUCCAUAUAGCACGAUAUCUAAAAAUAACACAAAAAUAACAGCAGCAAGCCUCAAAUUUCCAGACAUGGAGAACUAAAAUUAAUAAUUGGACCAAUUCACACGAAUAAUGCCAACAAUCAUUCCCUAUGCCUAGAAAAGUUAACCAAAAAUAGGAAAAGUUAAGCAAUCAUUGAUAUUCACCAAAGAGAUAUUCCUGAACUCAACCACACCAACUUGAUACCCUUUUAUUAUAUAAAAACUUGGCAAUAGCAGAAUUAGAGGCAACAAUCCAACAUCAAAACUUGGUAUUCAUAUGAAGACUGACCACUAGAAAAAGAAAAGAAAAUAAACGAAAAAGAGAUGCAUAUCAAACUUAAAACAAAGGAAAAACACCUAAAAAUCGAAAAUUGGAAAUACUAGCACCCAAACUGAUCCCCCCACACCUAAAUCACACAUUGCCCUCAAUGUGAUAAAUAAAUAGUAAUAGCAAGGCGAAGGGCAACGGGACUUCCCUGAAGUCGUCAAAAUAGGGGCGGAUCGGGCGAGAACUGAGGAGCAAGACCUGCAUGGUGCAUAAAUGCUGCCAAAUUCUGCGCCAUGUGAGGUUCUAGGUGUCCAGACCUAGAAGAUGACCAUGGCCUCACCAUUGGUUCUAAAGAUCACUCCACUUGACAAGAGACAACAAUGGCCAACAAAUAAUGGAAACAGGAAAUUCAAAGCAAUAAGAAUUGAAAAGCCAACCCAACGAAUAAAAUGCACAAUUCAACCACCCAGAGGUCAUACAAAUACCCCCAACACUUAUAGCAAAUGCAAUCAAUAAGUACUUAUGGACCCCAUGUAGUCAAAUUCAGAAUUAAGGUCGUCCAAAGUGCAACAACUGCUCCAAAUACCCCAAGCAAGUCAAUUAAAGGCAACCGACUUCAACAAGCAAAUGCAAACUGCACAUUCAUGCCCCAAUUCAACAAAUAAACGCAGAAAAGUAGCCACAAUACUAGAGCACAGCUCCCAAUAAUGCAACAGAAUAGCAACUCGAACAAACUAGGAACUGUGCUAGUGUCUUAAUAAAUCAACAACUUUCAGCAAUUAGACACAAUCGGACCCAAUAUCGUAACAACUGUCUCCAAUUGGACAGUCAAUUACCCACUUCAACCUGCUAAAAUUAGCAAUUGACCCAAGAAAAUGGCAACUCCAGCAACAACAGUUCAGAAGUUGGACAGAAACAACUCAACCACAAAUGCCCAAUAGUCGAUUAGGCAACCAAUAACACAGGAGUAACAAAUAUUAUGUAAACUACCCUCACCAGUACCACUGGUGCAUGCAUAAGGAAAAUUGAAAUCAAAUGGCCAACCCAAGACAUGUGAUAACGCCAAACACACCACUCAGUACCACUGAAUGGCAGAGGGUAACACGGGACCCAAUUGACACGUAACUCCCAAAUUACCCCCAACAAUUUCCAAACAAAUAAACUGGCACGAAAGCCAUCAAAUUUAUCCCCCAGAUGCAACAGAAAUCUCAAGUAGUCAAAACCCAAUAAGCACAGGUAUCUCCCAAUUCAAAAGGGUAAUGCACAAUAAAUGGCCCACCAAAUUAGCAAUGUAAAGUCCUGAGCAAUUUACGCCCAACAAUUCAAUCAAUACCAAAAAAACUGCCCCAAACAAUGUAACAGUUACACUCCACGGGCAAGGGAUGUCCAACCAAUUUCACUCGAGCAAACUAUAAGCAGUGCUAGUGUCUAAACAAAUCAGCAAAUUUCAGCAAUUAGACACAAUUCCACCCAAAAUCUCAACAAAUGUCCCCAAUCGGACAGUCAAUUACAUAUGUCAACCCACUAAAAUGCCAAUGACCACAGAAAUUGGCAACUCCAGCAAACUGUCCAAUGUGAAUAUAGCAAUUUGAACCACUCGGCAAACUGUCCCCAAUAAUUCAAUUUAGUUCACCCACAAUCGAUAAGUAAUGAAAAUGGUAACCACACAAAUUAUGCCCCACAGAUGAUGGCAAUUAAAACAAUUAGAGAGCAGCAAAGUAGACUUCGGUGAAUUGCAAGGGUUACCCAUGCAAGCGAGAUAGUAAAAUCGAUAUUAAGGGUUGGGAAGACUAAAUACCGACACCUGGACGCCUACAAGAAGCGAUGGCGCAGCGAAGGAGAGGCGGCGACCUUGGGGUUGCGCGAGGUGGGUGGUGCUUGAUGGUAGCAGCGGCGCAUGAGUGGAGCUAAGUGGAGAGGCUGAGGAUGGCAGUCUCGCGGCUGUGGGCUCGCGAGGUGGGGCGGACAACAGCGAAAGGUGGCUGAGCGGCGAAGUGGAGAUGAGCUCGUCGUGGGCUGGACGAGCGCCGCUGCGGGAGAGGAAGAAGGAGCGCUGGCGGCGUUGGACAUGGCAAGGCAGAGGAGAGAGGGAGAGCUGGUGAAGGUUGAGCGAGCUGGUGGAGGCGCGCGGCAGGGAGAUGGGGGACAGCAGCGACGGCGGCGGAGCGAGACGUGCGGCAAUAGAGGAAGAGCCGGGUGCUGCUGCAGAGGUGGGAGCGAACUGGAGGGAGGCGCAGCGUCUGAGAAAGCGGCGGCGCAAUGGUCGCGCUUGGGCGUGCGGCUGUGCGAGAUUGUGGCAGGGAGAGAGAGCAGAGGAAGCAGGGGCGGCGGCGUUGACCAGGGAGGUGGG